This 520-nucleotide ribosomal RNA is filed under the name uncultured Glomus. RNAcentral describes it as "SSU rRNA". It matches the Rfam family "Eukaryotic small subunit ribosomal RNA", at positions 569 to 1091 of the family's 1831-position model. Lineage: Eukaryota; Fungi; Glomeromycota; Glomeromycetes; Glomerales; Glomeraceae. The record is from RNAcentral.
AGCAGCCGCGGUAAUUCCAGCUCCAAUAGCGUAUAUUAAAGUUGUUGCAGUUAAAAAGCUCGUAGUUGAAUUUCGGGGUCAGUAGGUUGGUCAUGCCUCCGGUAUGUACUGGUCUCACUGAUUCCUCCUUCCUGAUGAGCCGUAAUGCCAUUAAUUUGGUGUUGCGGGGAAUCUGGACUGUUACUUUGAAAAAAUUAGAGUGUUUAAAGCAAGCUAACGCUUGAAUACAUUAGCAUGGAAUAAUGGAAUAGGACGUUCGAUCCUAUUUUGUUGGUUUCUAGGAUUGACGUAAUGAUUAAUAGGGAUAGUUGGGGGCAUUAGUAUUCAAUUGUCAGAAGUGAAAUUCUUGGAUUUAUUGAAGACUAACUACUGCGAAAGCAUUUGCCAAGGAUGUUUUCAUUAAUCAAGAACGAAAGUUAGGGGAUCGAAGACGAUCAAAUACCGUCGUAGUCUUAACCAUAAACUAUGCCGACUAGGGAUCGGAUGAUGUUAAUUUUUAAUGACUCAUUCGGCGCCUUAA